AGUCGCACGGGCCGCAAGGCCAGUGGCGGAAGGGUGAGUAAGGCGACGGUAACCAACCCCAUGGUCGGGUAUAGCCGCGGGAAACUGCGGGUAAUCCCCAGCGACGUCCGGAGCGGGCAUCCGCACCGGACCAAAGUCCUGGCGCCGUGGGACGGGCCGUCGUGGUAUUAGGUCGUUGGCGGGGUAACGGCCCACCAAGCCUAUGAUGCCUACCGGGCGUGCGAGCGUGGCCCGGCACACUGGGACUGAGACACUGCCCAGACUCCUACGGGAGGCUGCAGUCGAGAAUCUUCGGCAAUGGGCGCAAGCCUGACCGAGCGACGCCGCGUGGAGGACGAAGGCCUUCGGGUUGUAAACUCCUGUCGAGGGGGAGGAAGGUCGUAAGGCUUGACCGAUCCCUGGAGGAAGCACGGGCUAAGUUCGUGCCAGCAGCCGCGGUAAGACGAACCGUGCGAACGUUAUUCGGAAUCACUGGGCUUAAAGCGCGUGUAGGCGGAUGGGUACGUCGGUCGUUGAAAGCCCCCGGCUCAACCGGGGAAUGGGCGCCGAAACGACCCGUCUGGAGGGACGUAGGGGGACCUGGAACUUCCGGUGGAGCGGUGAAAUGCGUUGAGAUCGGAAGGAACGCCCGUGGCGAAAGCGAGGUCCUGGACGUCUACUGACGCUGAGACGCGAAAGCUAGGGUAGCGAACGGGAUUAGAUACCCCGGUAGUCCUAGCUGUAAACGAUGGGCACUGGGUAGGGGGCUCGCCGAUGGGCUCUCUGCCGAAGCGAAAGCGUGAAGUGCCCCGCCUGGGGAGUAUGGUCGCAAGGCUGAAACUCAAAGAAAUUGACGGGGGCUCACACAAGCGGUGGA
This 856-nucleotide ribosomal RNA is filed under the name uncultured soil bacterium. RNAcentral describes it as "bacterial SSU rRNA". It matches the Rfam family "Bacterial small subunit ribosomal RNA", at positions 60 to 936 of the family's 1533-position model. The record is from RNAcentral.